This is a non-coding RNA of Hydra vulgaris (swiftwater hydra), 282 nucleotides long. Lineage: Eukaryota; Metazoa; Cnidaria; Hydrozoa; Anthoathecata; Hydridae. The record is from RefSeq and is a predicted model, not a curated record.
CAAACAUUUUGUUCUUUUUUUUUUAGUUGCCUUUGAAUCACUUGAUUAUUUUGCUUACUGUUGAAACAUGGUUUUAAUUUUGUAAAUUUAAUAUGAUGUGAAAUUUACUUUAUUAAUCAUUAGUCAAUAGUUAGAGAGAAGCUGAAUCUUAAUUAAGCAAUGCUGGAAAUUAACUUUUAAUUCAGUUUGUUAUUUUCACUGGAUUUUAUUGCUAUGUGUUAUUGUUGUGAUGUUUUGUGUUGAUAGACAGCUUGGCUUACCUUCCCGUUGGCGUCUAUUGUU